Molecule: ribosomal RNA, 253 nt
Filed under: uncultured bacterium
Lineage: Bacteria
Description: partial 16S ribosomal RNA
Rfam family: Bacterial small subunit ribosomal RNA
Source: RNAcentral
UACGAAGGGGGCUAGCGUUGCUCGGAAUCACUGGGCGUAAAGGGUGCGUAGGCGGGUCUUUAAGUCAGGGGGGAAAUCCUGGAGCUCAACUCCAGAGCUGCCUUUGAUACUGAAGAUCUUGAGUUCGGGAGAGGUGAGUGGAACUGCGAGUGUAGAGGUGAAAUUCGUAGAUAUUCGCAAGAACACCAGUGGCGAAGGCGGCUCACUGGCCCGAUACUGACACUGAGGCACGAAAGCGUGGGGAGCAAACAGG